UGAGCUUGAUCCUGGCUCAGGACGAACGCUGGCGGCGUGCCUAAUACAUGCAAGUCGAGCGGACUGAUGGGAGCUUGCUCCCUGAUGUUAGCGGCGGACGGGUGAGUAACACGUGGGCAACCUGCCUGUAAGACUGGGAUAACUCCGGGAAACCGGGGCUAAUACCGGAUAACCCGUUCCACCUCAUGGUGGAGCGGUAAAAGAUGGCCUCUGGCUAUCACUUACAGAUGGGCCCGCGGCGCAUUAGCUAGUUGGUAAGGUAACGGCUUACCAAGGCGACGAUGCGUAGCCGACCUGAGAGGGUGAUCGGCCACACUGGGACUGAGACACGGCCCAGACUCCUACGGGAGGCAGCAGUAGGGAAUCUUCCGCAAUGGACGAAAGUCUGACGGAGCAACGCCGCGUGAGUGAUGAAGGUUUUCGGAUCGUAAAGCUCUGUUGUUAGGGAAGAACAAGUGCCGUUUGAAUAAGGCGGCACCUUGACGGUACCUACCAGAAGACG
Molecule: ribosomal RNA, 502 nt
Filed under: Bacillus sp. M9-C9
Lineage: Bacteria; Bacillati; Bacillota; Bacilli; Caryophanales; Bacillaceae
Description: bacterial SSU rRNA
Rfam family: Bacterial small subunit ribosomal RNA
Source: RNAcentral